CCUACGGGAGGCUGCAGUGAGGAAUAUUGGUCAAUGGGCGCGAGUCUGAACCAGCCAAGUAGCGUGAAGGAUGACUGCCCUACGGGUUGUAAACUUCUUUUAUAAAGGAAUAAACUGAGGCACGUGUGCCUUUUUGUAUGUACUUUAUGAAUAAGCAUCGGCUAACUCCGUGCCAGCAGCCGCGGUAAUACGGAGGAUGCGAGCGUUAUCCGGAUUUAUUGGGUUUAAAGGGUGCGUAGGUGGUUAAUUAAGUCAGCGGUGAAAGUUUGUGGCUCAACCAUAGAAUUGCCGUUGAAACUGGUUGACUUGAGUAUAUUUGAGGUAGGCGGAAUGCGUGGUGUAGCGGUGAAAUGCAUAGAUAUCACGCAGAACUCCGAUUGCGAAGGCAGCUUACUAAACUAUAACUGACGCUGAAGCACGAAAGCGUGGGGAUCAAACAGGAUUAGAUACCCCUGUAGUC
Molecule: ribosomal RNA, 460 nt
Filed under: uncultured bacterium
Lineage: Bacteria
Description: partial 16S ribosomal RNA
Rfam family: Bacterial small subunit ribosomal RNA
Source: RNAcentral